AAGGCGACGAUGCGUAGCCGACCUGAGAGGGUGAUCGGCCACACUGGGACUGAGACACGGCCCAGACUCCUACGGGAGGCAGCAGUAGGGAAUCUUCCGCAAUGGGCGAAAGCCUGACGGAGCAAUGCCGCGUGAGUGAUGAAGGUUUUCGGAUCGUAAAGCUCUGUUGCCAGGGAAGAACGUCCUUGAGAGUAACUGCUCAAGGAGUGACGGUACCUGAGAAGAAAGCCCCGGCUAACUACGUGCCAGCAGCCGCGGUAAUACGUAGGGGGCAAGCG
RNAcentral lists this ribosomal RNA (278 nucleotides) under Paenibacillus sp. 7516. Its description in RNAcentral is "partial 16S ribosomal RNA". It matches the Rfam family "Bacterial small subunit ribosomal RNA", at positions 270 to 540 of the family's 1533-position model. Lineage: Bacteria; Bacillati; Bacillota; Bacilli; Caryophanales; Paenibacillaceae. The record is from RNAcentral.